ACGGACUCACGGUUUUCCCUAUAAAUUUGCGGACAGCGAAGCUUUAGCAUACAGUACCCAAGUUAGAUCACAUCUUGUCUUUUAGCAAAAGAGAGAAACAAAAUGGGAUCUCAUGUUAUUUGUAACCAACAAAAACCACACGUAGUUUGCGUGCCUUACCCGGCUCAAGGCCACAUCAAUCCGAUGCUGAAAAUGGCUAAACUCCUCCACAAUAGAGGCUUCCACGUCACCUUCGUCAACACCGUUUACAACCACAAACGCCUAAUCCGGUCCCGUGGGACUGACGCACUCGGUAGAGUUUCUUCCUUCCGGUUCGAGGCCAUACCUGACGGUCUACCUGAGACUGACGUAGACGCCACGCAGGACAUCCCUACCCUUUCCGAGUCCACCGAGAAGAACUGUCUCGCUCCGUUCAAGGAGCUUAUCGGGCGGAUUAACACCAGAGAGGAUGUUCCUCCGGUGAGCUGUAUCGUAGCAGAUGGUGCGAUGAGCUUUACUCUUGACGUUGCGGAGGAGUUAGGUGUCCCGGACGUUCUGUUUUGGACCCCUAGUGGUUGUGGCUUCAUGGCUUAUCUUCACUAUUAUCUCUUCAUCGAGAAGGGUUUAUGUCCUGUACAGGGUACAUUUUCUUGCAUUUAAUUAUUGAUUUUAUUAACGUUAUAAUAUUAAAUCUAACGCAAGAAUUAACCCUUACGAUACUACUAGCUCGAUGGGUUUAUCAUUUAAGAGGUCGUUGGGCAAUUAGGCUGCCAACGUCACUCAAUGCCACUUUGUUUGCUAUUAGGCCUAGAAAGUUACGUUGACCUACAAGAUAUGGAUGAAACUAUAACCCUUAUCCUAAUUUGGCCAACCUCACUCUCUAGAUCACUUUGUUUGUUUUUAUAUGUUGUUUGUACUAUAUAGUUUGUUUUUAUCUGUUGUUUGUAUUAUAACUAAAUAUUGUGAGAUUAAAUAAUAAUAAAAAGUGUGAUGGAUCUUGUAGAUGAGAGUUGCUUGACGAAGGAACACUUGGACACAGUUAUAGAUUGGAUACCAUCAAUGAAGAAUCUAAAAUUAAAAGACAUUCCUAGUUUCAUCCGUACCACUAAUCCCAACGACAUAAUGGUCAACUUCAUUGUCCGUGAGACUUGUCGAACCAAACGCGCCUCUGCUGUCAUUCUCAACACGUUCGAUGACCUGGAGCAUGACAUAAUCCGCUCUAUGCAAUCCAUUUUACCACCGGUUUAUCCAAUCGGACCGCUUCAUCUCUUAGUAAACAGGGAGAUUGAUGAAGACAGUGAGAUUGGAAGGCUGGGAUCAAAUCUAUGGAAAGAGGAGACUGAGUGUUUGAAUUGGCUUGAUACUAAGUCUCGAAACAGCGUUGUUUAUGUUAACUUUGGGAGCAUAACGAUAAUGACCGUGACACAGCUCUUGGAGUUUGCAUGGGGUUUGGCGGCAACGGGGAAGGAGUUUCUAUGGGUGAUGCGGCCGGAUUUAGUAGCCGGAGAGGAGGCAGUGAUCCCGACAGAGUUCUUAACGGAGACAGCGGAUCGAAGGAUGCUGGCGAGUUGGUGUCCUCAGGAGAAAGUUCUUUCUCAUCCGGCUAUCGGAGGGUUCUUGACGCAUUGCGGUUGGAACUCGACGUUAGAAAGUCUUUCUUGCGGAGUUCCGAUGGUAUGUUGGCCAUUUUUUGCAGAGCAGCAAACAAAUUGUAAGUUUUCUUGUGACGAAUGGGAGGUUGGGAUUGAGAUUGGCGGAGAUGUAAAGAGGGAAGAGGUCGAGGCAGUGGUUAGAGAGCUGAUGGAUGGAGAGAAGGGAAAGAAGAUGAGAGAAAAGGCGGGGGAGUGGCGGCGUUUAGCGCAGAAAGCGACUGAGCAGCCGUGUGGUUCUUCGGUGAUAAACUUUGAGACAAUUGUUAGCAAGGUUCUUAAAACUAUUUAAGAAAACAUAAGUAUAUCAUAAAACUAUGUAAGGUUAUUAAUAAGUAUAAUUGCUUUUCUUGUUUCAUCGUGUGUAAUACUAUCCUAAAAGGGAUUGAGAGAAAUAACAAAUUUUGGUUAAGGUUUUCUAAGAAGCAUUGUGGUAAACUAUUUUGUUGGUUUUCACUUUUCAGAAGAAAGUUCAAUCUAAGUCUUAAUAUUAAUUCAAAAGUUGUUAUUUUUGGUAAAAUAUUGUAAAAGUUUGGAAGAAGGAAGCUUAAGGUUUAGAGAGAUUGUACUUGAAACUGUGUAUCACUCUAAAGAGUAAGAAACAUUGUUUUCACGAAUUAUUGACUACGGGGCCACUAGUCUCUGUCUUUUAUUAUAUAUAGACAAACACUCGUGCCGACGGGUAGGGGAUAUCUUCGCACGUGUUAGGUUUAUGUCGAUAACCGCUACGUGCGAGAAUCAUGCUCUCGCCAUCUCAUCGUGGAGUCCUUUAAAGCCUAUCCAAGGUGUUCCAUACAUAUCCAUAUAUCUUUCUUCUCUGUUUUUUUAUUUUGGCACACAAGAAAAGAAAUGGCAUCUCAUGCCGUUUCUAGCGGACAAAAACCACACGUAGUUUGCGUACCUUUCCCAGCUCAAGGCCACAUCAAUCCGAUGCUGAAAGUGGCUAAACUC
RNAcentral lists this long non-coding RNA (2579 nucleotides) under Capsella grandiflora. Its description in RNAcentral is "long non-coding RNA (CGRA_LNC000100)". The record is from RNAcentral. Lineage: Eukaryota; Viridiplantae; Streptophyta; Magnoliopsida; Brassicales; Brassicaceae.